UACGUAGGGGGCAAGCGUUGUCCGGAUUUAUUGGGCGUAAAGAGCGUGUAGGCGGCCCGGUAAGUCCGCUGUAAAAGUCAAAGGCUCAACCUUUGAAUGUCAGUGGAUACUGCCGGGCUAGAGUCCGGAAGAGGCGAGUGGAACUCCUGGUGUAGCGGUGGAAUGCGCAGAUAUCAGGAAGAACACCGACGGCGAAGGCAGCUCGCUGGGACGGUACUGACGCUGAGACGCGAAAGCGUGGGGAGCGAACAGG
Molecule: ribosomal RNA, 253 nt
Filed under: uncultured bacterium
Lineage: Bacteria
Description: partial 16S ribosomal RNA
Rfam family: Bacterial small subunit ribosomal RNA
Source: RNAcentral